UCGUUCAAAGAAAUUGAUAUGAGGUCCUCCACUAGUUCUCCCUACUCUUCAGUCAGUUCAUCAUGGGUGUCUAGUCCUUCAAUAGGAAGAACUUCGAAUCUUCAUGCUCCUUGAAGAGCAAUUGUGUAGCAAUGUCGUGCUAGCACCUGAUCUCUGCCAGUAAAUGGUAGGUUGAAACUAUGGCUUUAAGGGUGCUUAGCUCAGGUCGAUUAAAGCAUUGUAUAUCAACAGUACCCUUAUGAUGAAGAAAUUGACAUGGGUGGUGGACUGUCGAGCCUCCUAAUCAGCCGUAACUAGCAGAGUAAUAACUCUGUCAACUGGUAUGGCAUCUUCGGUAAAACCUACGAGAGGAGAAUCCAGCCUACCCAACUAAUCUG
This 377-nucleotide long non-coding RNA is filed under the name Elaeis guineensis (African oil palm). RNAcentral's name for it is "long non-coding RNA (EGUI_LNC037031)". The record is from RNAcentral. Lineage: Eukaryota; Viridiplantae; Streptophyta; Magnoliopsida; Arecales; Arecaceae.